This 150-nucleotide small RNA is filed under the name Pseudomonas deceptionensis. RNAcentral describes it as "PrrF RNA". It matches the Rfam family "PrrF RNA". Rfam says of the family: PrrF RNA is a small RNA involved in iron homeostasis and is found exclusively in Pseudomonas species. Their expression is induced under iron limitation by the ferric uptake regulator (Fur) and they act to negatively regulate several genes including sodB and sdh. Lineage: Bacteria; Pseudomonadati; Pseudomonadota; Gammaproteobacteria; Pseudomonadales; Pseudomonadaceae. The record is from RNAcentral.
UUGCUUUGCAAAUGAUAAUGAUUACUAUUGCAUGCAGCUGGUCGCGAGAUCAGUCGAUAAUUCAAGGGACCUUAGGUCGGUCUUUUGAAUUAGCUCCUCAUCAGGCUAAUCACGGUUAUUUGACCCGGCUUAUGGCCGGGUCUUUUUUUU